This 254-nucleotide ribosomal RNA is filed under the name uncultured bacterium. RNAcentral's name for it is "partial 16S ribosomal RNA". It matches the Rfam family "Bacterial small subunit ribosomal RNA", at positions 524 to 776 of the family's 1533-position model. The record is from RNAcentral.
UACGUAGGGUGCGAGCGUUGUCCGGAAUUAUUGGGCGUAAAGAGCUCGUAGGCGGUCUGUCGCGUCGGUCGUGAAAACUUGGGGCUUAACCCUGAGCUUGCGGUCGAUACGGGCAUGACUGGAGUUCGGCAGGGGAGACUGGAAUUCCUGGUGUAGCGGUGAAAUGCGCAGAUAUCGGGAGGAACACCAGUGGCGAAAGCGGCUACCUGGCCCAUUCUUGACGCUGAGGCGCGAAAGCUAGGGGAGCAAACGGG